Xenopus laevis (African clawed frog) is the source of this 3426-nucleotide long non-coding RNA. RefSeq lists it as uncharacterized. The transcript has 4 exons. The record is from RefSeq and is a predicted model, not a curated record. Lineage: Eukaryota; Metazoa; Chordata; Amphibia; Anura; Pipidae.
CAGGAACAGUGCACGCCCUUGAUUCCUACACGUGGGGGUCGGACAGACUCAGGUGCCUCUGAAUUCCCACAAGGAGGAUCCCACUCAUGAUCCAUGUUUAUAUUUUGCUUGACUCUACCUCAUCCUCGGUCCCAAACUCUGUCAGGGAUUUGCGGAAUCUUCGGCUCGGAGGUCGGCGCUUUAUGGAGCCUUUUGUACGAAGCUGCACGGAGUUACCUCUUUCCUGGGGCUGUUGCGCUGCUCUCCAAAUAUCCCUGCAAGCUUUGCCACUGAUGGUACUGGGGCCUCCUCCGCUGAACUGAUAUCCGCUGAUUUCCCCUGCAAGUCACAAAUAAAUAUCUUCACUCUGGAAUUUCAGCAGCUAUCUGGUGCUAGGGUCCUAAUUAUAAUUACUAAUUAUAAUUACUAACUAGGCAGUGGUGUGAAUGAGAAACUGGAAGAUACAAAGGAGAGAACCUGAAUAGAAAACAAAAGUAAUAAAAAAGUAACUAAAUAAAAUUGAAGCCUCACAGAGCAAUAGCUUUCUGGCUGCUAGGGUCAGUGACCACCCAUUUCAUAAAGCUGGAAAGAAACAGACGAGGAACACAAAUCCUGCCAAAACUCUUUAGAAAAAACAGAUGGAAAAUUUGCUAAGAACUGCCCAUUCUAUAACAUACUAAAAUUCAACUUAAUAGUGAACUACCCCUGUAAAAUGUAAUAUUUAUCACUGUAUAUCUCACUAUUUAUCCAGCACCCAACAGAGGAAAGGCCAGGCCCUUCUUGAGAAAGUUCUUGAUGCCUCCAGCAGGCCUGCGUUAUCAUUCCCGUGCCGGGAACAUUGCACAAUAUAAAUUCUCAGACAUGAGGUCAGUAGGGACAUCCUCACCACGUCCCCAAGGAGGACUGUUUAUCUUCAGAGCUUAGAGCAUUCCGUCCAUUGUGUAUUUCUCUAUUAUUUCAUGAGAUCAUUUCUGUUUGUCCCCCCCCACCCGUGCCGCUCCCUUAGAAUGGCAGUACUUGAAAUAUUAAGAAUUCUCUAAAUACUCAACAGAACAAGGGCCUUAAGGCUUCCAUUGGCCGACGAGAAAAGCAGAAAGAGACAUAUUCCAGACAUUUUGGCCUCAGGAUUCUUCUCCCCCCCCCAAGCCUCAUUCUGGGUUCAGUUUAUGGGAAAGUAUGUUCAUUAUGUAUAUUAGUCUGUUUUUUGUGCAAGUCAUAUUUUAUGUAGGUUUUAGCAACUAAUGUCCUUCAGUUGAAGACAAUAUUAAUGUUAACACCACUCACAAUCUCUGACCAAACAUUUGCUCCUUGGAAAUGGAAUACUAGUGUGUUUUGAAUGAGCCAUCAAGUUCUUAAGAUUAAGGUUUGGGGGCACAAGAUUGAUAAUACCCCACCCCCCUUAAAGAAGUAAUAUUGGAGACAUAGACAGAGGGCUGUUGGUCUGGGAACCACUGAUACUCUCAGGGUCUCAUCCAAUUCCCCUUUUGGAGUCAGAAGGCAAAGUAGAUGGUUUCAGAGGGAGUUAUUCUCUAAAUCAUAGAAUUUACUUUAACAUAAGGUUGAACCUGAUGGACAUAUGUGUUUUCUUCCUUACCCCUUGAUGCUGCAAUAUGUAGUAGAAGGCCAUGUUUGUUCUUCUUUUGGAACUACUGAGGCUUCAAGCCGUAGUAACACAAGAUACUACUCGAGCAUUUAAGAAAAACUUAAGGUCUUUCAAAUGAUGCACUGUAUGGUCAAAUAAUCAGGACACAUUUGUGUCAAUAAGUUUCUGGACACCCUAUCUAAAAAGCUUGACCUCCACCCAACAGAAUGCCUGUGGGAAGGAUUGGAACCUUAUGCCUGAUCCACCCAAAAUCAGUGCCCAGCCUCACUAAUGCUAGUGUUGGACUGGGGUGUCCACUGGGUUUUUUCCGGUAUCCCGCCAGCCCAGUGUGACCCUGGCUAAAGCUCUUGCGGCUGAAUGGCAGCAACUCCCAGCAACAUUGUUCCAACAUCUAGCAGGAACCUUCCCAGAUGAGUAGGGGCUGAUACAUCAGCAACAGGAGGGGACAUAUUCAUCCCCUUGAUUUUGGAAUAAGACAUUGGGGAGGCAGGGAUAUAGAUAAUUAUGGCUGUAACGGGCUUUUACUGUAUUGUAUUGUUGUGUUGCAAUAUCAGGAUACUAAACAGCUGAUGAUCUGCACAGUAUUCUGUGUCACUCUGGCCAGGCAAGAUUAUAAAUAGCCCAACAGGAAUGAGAUAUGAAUCUGUGCCAGCCUUUGGACAGCACCAUGAUAAUCAAUGCCAAGAAUGAAGAUUUCACCAUGGGGCAGAUGUCCAGUCUCCAAUAGAUGUGACACUCGAAAGCCGGAUGUGUAUAGAACAAAGAACUCCUCAAUGGUGGUUUUGCCUCACAUCUCCGUCUAUGUUUUUAUCUAGUCUGUACUGAGGCUGCACAGCCCCCCGAAUAUUAUCACUGGGCAGAAGAUAAAGCAGUCGCCAUGGCACAGGACACAGAGACAAAUGGACACGUUCAUGGGACACCAACAAGAGAGGUCAAGGGAAGAGACAUUCUGUAAUGGAAAUGACACAGCUGGAUGAUUCCAGUAGGGUUAUAACGGCUUCUGUAUCGAGUGGGAAACGGUCUUGGAAAUGGGGAAAUCUGUAUUUGAUCACAAUGUCAGAGCCAUUAAGGUCACUGUGUCUUGACUCUUUCAUGUGAGACAGAGUAAGCCAUUCCAGCAACUGACUGCCUACACGAUGGUCUCCUCUGUACCACAAGGCUUUUACCCUACUAGUCUCAAGAGUUUUCUCUCUGUUCCCAAUCCAUUUAACUCAUCAUCCCCCAUCCUACACUCUAACAUCUACCCUUCUCCAUUUAUUUUCUUCCACUUUAUGCCCCUGCGUUCUACCAACCUCCCUCUGUUGUUGUCUGUCCCCUCUUCCAACCAUUCCCUGCUUCCCUACCUACUUCCAUCCAGCCUCUGUCUCCCCUACAUUCAUUCUCCUGGUUCCCUUUCUGGACCUACUCUCCCAUGCUGGAUCGACCAAUUACCAAGAAAGUCUGCAUUAUACUACACAUUAAAAGGGUGGUUCACAUUUAAGACAACUUUUAGUAUGUUAUAAAAUGGCUGAGCAACUUUUGAAUUGGUCUUAUUUUUGUUUUUUUUUAUACUUUUUCAAUUAUUAGCUUUCUUCUGGCUGUUUCCAGUUUUCAAAUGAGGGUCACUGACCCCAUUUAAAAACAAAUGCUCUGUAAGGCUACAAAUUUCUUGAUAUUGCUUUUAUUACUCAUAUUUCUAGUCAGACCCUUUCCUAAUUAUAUUCCAGUAUUUUAUUCUAAUCAAUUCAUGGUUGCUAGGAAAAUUUGAACCCUAGCAACUGACUGCAGAAAUCACAAACUGCAGAGCUUCUGAAUAAAAAGCUAAAUAACUAAAACAACAACAAUUAAUAAAAAAUGAAAACCAA